Molecule: ribosomal RNA, 253 nt
Filed under: uncultured bacterium
Lineage: Bacteria
Description: partial 16S ribosomal RNA
Rfam family: Bacterial small subunit ribosomal RNA
Source: RNAcentral
UACGGAGGGUGCAAGCGUUAUCCGGAUUCACUGGGUUUAAAGGGUGUGCAGGCGGGCUGUUAAGUGGUGUAUGAAAUAUCCCGGCUCAACCGGGAGAGGUUAUGCCAGACUGGCAGUCUAGAGAGCGAGAGAGGGACGUGGAAUUCCGGGUGUAGUGGUGAAAUGCGUAGAGAUCCGGAGGAACCCCAGAGGCGAAGGCGGCGUCCUGGCUCGCAUCUGACGCUCAGACACGACAGCAUGGGGAGCGAACGGG